CUUUGUCUCUGAGUUUUUCUGUUAAUUUCGCCUUUUCAGCACAUUGCAUCCGUUUUUGUAGCCCUUCUUCCUUAGCUGGUAUUUCUUCCCUUUUCCAGGUAACAUCCUAGCCACGGUCGUGCCAAACCUAAAUAGUUUAUUCUUUCCUCUGGGCAGCUCUGGCCCUGAACUCCCCUUCCCCGCCCCCUCCCUCGCCUGCCAGCCAAUCCGCUGGCUGGGGGGCGUGGCCGGGCCCCAUUUAAACCGAGGCGCGAGCCGGAGAGCUUCCUCCAACUGCCGGCUUCUGCCUUCCUCGGUCUUCCUCGCUGGGGCUUGGCUCACUCUGCCGCUGCGGGCAGAGCUGCUGCCCCAACCCCCGAGCUACAGCGGAGAGCAGAUCUGGGGGCGCCCUUAGCCGCUCUGCCGCUGCGACGGGAGGGAAACCCGCCAUUUGGAGCCCUCAUUACACCCCCUUCUACUCUUAAGUUGCCCAGCUGUGUGAGUGAAGGGCAAGGGGCUGCUUCGUGGCUCUGCGCAGCCACUGGGACCUUUCCUCAGACCUAAGAAUGUGUGUGUGUGUGUCCCGCCUUCCCUGCAUCUCAUAUAGUCCAUUUGCUCCCAUUUCCUCGCUUGGCCUCCUGGGCGCCUGUCGGUCUUUGCUUGCUCUGGGAGAGCGAAGUGGGUUAAUUUCGCGGAGCUUUAGGGGGGGGGCAGUUGAUUUCCUUUCCUGACAGUUAACCCUUUCUUCGCCCACCGGCUUUUGCUGUGUUAUUCUGCAGGCUGCAGGGCUUCCUCAUAGCGAGCUUCCCUUCCUUUCCUGACAGUUAACCCAUUGGUGUUAGCCGCUCUGGGCGAGGCUUGCCACGUGACCUCCAAAAACAGACUCACCGUUAUGAGAAAGCACAUCAAAUCUAGCCUUGAAACAGAGGCCUCCUUGCACAAUAGUUGGGUUGUACCUGCCAAUCUGAAAGCAAGCAAACAUAGACACUGAACUUUCCAAGUUGCCAGAACACCUGUCAUCAAAGUUGCAUCUGCACCUGCAUCACACAAAGUUGCAUCUGCCAAGGUCUCUCCUCAAUUCUCCUUGCUUCAUGAUCCACCAUUUACUGACAGAAGAUUGGUAAGCAAUUGAUCAUGAAUUGUUAAAAAACAAAAAAACAUAAACACCACCCUACAUAGCAAGCUCCACAGCAUGUUUCCCCCAUAAGGUCACCUUGUCUGUUACCUUUGCCGGGAGAAUUGCUCCUCCAGUAGUGUCUGGAAUGCAGACAGACAAGGUGCAUAGAGAGACUUCUCACACCAGUGAGUGGGAACGCUAGGAGGAGAAGCAGGCACUGGAUUCAGCUGACCUAGACACACAACAGUGGUGCAUCAAGUGAGCAUCUUCCCAGCAACAGCACAUUGACGUGGUGCUUGAAAUGGUCCUUUGGUCCAAUGGUGGAGUUAAGAAUCAAGCUCAGUCACUGAAGUCGCCCCCCUCCCAUGCUAAUACUUUGGCUUAAGAAAAAGGGAGCCAGUCGUUAUUUGGGCAAUGUAGGAUAGAGAGGGAUAGCAAGACAGAGAGGGAUAGCAGUUGCAUUGGAAGAAAGCAUGGAUACCGCAGGGGCUUGAACUCUGUCCUGGGAACCAGGAGUACCAACCACCAGUGUCUUUUGCUUUUUUUUUGAGCAAUGCAACAAAGGGAAAAGCAAAACCUGAGAGAACAUUCACGGGGGCGGGGGGACCUUAAGAUGUUAAGAAGAGCUCUUUGGAGAGAACUGUGGAGAGAGCAACAGAAAAGAAAAUGGGGAAAAGGAGACACCAAUACAAAAAACAUUGUCUUGAAAAAAGACCACUGAGUGGUGGAAUGUGAACUUACCUAAAGCAGCACAGCCCAAAUGCAGGUGACUCUCACUUCAGGUACAGUGAACUCUUGAAAACUUGAAGGAAAGAGGAGCUGGAACAAAAGAAGUGUUCUCUCACCUGCAGGUGAGCCUCCUUGUGGUAACAUGGAAUAGGGCCUCUUCUGACAACUUAGUCACCGCAACCCGAUAAGAGUUUUGGCACAAUGAGUUGCAGACAGAACACAGUAGAGAUUUUCUCCCUAGCCAAGAAAGGCAUACUCUGGGAAGCCUGAAGGAAAGAAGAGAUGGAACAAUAGAAGAAGUGUUCUCCUACCUGCAGGUGAACCUUUUCUUACCACCAUGACUUCUGGGAUGCAGCUGGAAGAGCUGGCUUCAUUUGAGGGUUGGGAGCUCUUUGGAGAUACCUGUGAAGAGACCACCAGAAAAGAAAACGGGGAACAGGAGAGACCAAUACAAAAAACAUUGUCUUGGAAAAAAUAACCACUGAGUGGUGGAAUGUGAACUUACCUAAAGCAGCACAGUCCAAAUGCAGGUGACUCACGUCAGGUAUUGUGAACUCUUGGAAACUUGAAGAGCUGCAACAAAAGAAGAAGUCUCCUACCUGCAGGUGAGCCUCAUUGUGGUGACAUGGAAUAGGGCAUUUUCUGACAAUUCAGUCACCUCAACCUGAAAGAGUCUUAGCACAAUGAGUUGCAGACGGAACACAAUAGAGAUUUUCUCCCUAGCCAAGCAAGGCAUAUUCUGGGAAGCCUGAAGGAAAGAAGAGAUGGAACAAUAGAAGAAGUGUUCUCCUACCUGCAGGUGAACCUUUUCUUACCACCAUGACUUCUGGGACUCAGCUGGAAGGGCUGGCUUCAUUUGAAGGUUGGGAGCUCUUUGGAGAUACCUGUGAAGAGACCACCAGAAAAGAAAAUGGGGAAAUGGAGAGACCAAUACAAAAAACAUGUUCUUGGGGGGGGGAGACCACUGAGUGGUGGAAUAUGAACUUACCUAAAGCAGAACAUUCCAAAUGCAGGUGACUCACUUCAGGUACAGUGAACUCUGGGAAGCCUGAAGGAAAGAAAAGAUGGAACAAAAGAAGUCUUCUCCUACCUGCAGGUGAGCCUCAUUGUGGUGACACAGAAUAGGGCUUCUUCUGAAAACUCGGUCACCGCAACCUGAAAGAGUCUUUGCACAAUGUGUUGCAGACAGAACACAAUAAGAGACUUUCUCCCUAGCCUAGGGAGGCAUACUCACCUAAAUGUCCUUCAGUCAUGGAAUGCCAUUUUGACUGCCAUUUUUGUUUCAAGCUGGAUGAGCCUUUGAUCUAGAGGGGCACAACAGAGAGAUGAGAUUCAGACUUAAACCUGCCGUUAAGCUUGGUAUGAAAGAAGGAAAACUGUUCACCCUUUUGUUUGUCCAUCUGAGGGUGACAUUGUGUCCUGCGGAUCCCAUUCUUGGUCUGCGAUCUAGAGUCGCUAGUUUCUCCCCAGCCACCUUCCACCAAUCCUACAGAAAAUGAAUUUCAAAAAAACAAACACCUUUUCUUACCACUAUGACUUCUGGGACUCUGCUGGAGGAGCUGGCUUCAUUUGAGGGUUGCGAGCUAUUUGGAGAGACCUUUGAAGACACCACCACAAACAAAAAUGGGAAAAAGGAGAGACCGAUACAAAAAAAAUUGUCUUGAGAAAAGACCACUGAGUGGUGGAAUGUGAACUUACCUAAAGCAGCACAGCCCAAAUGCAGGUGACUCUCACUUCAGGUACAGUGAACUCUGGGAAGUGUGAAGGAAAGAGGAGCUGGAGCAAAAGGAGUGUUCUACCUGCAGGGGAGCCUCAUUGUAGUGACACAGAAUAGGGCUUCUUCUGACGAUUCAGUCACCGCAACCUGAAAGAGUCUUAGCACAAAGAGUCGCAGAUGGAACACAAUAGAGAUUUCCUCUCUAGCCUGAGAUCCAGAAACACUAGUUUGUCCUACCAGCAGGUGAACCUCAUUGUGGUAACACAGAAUAGGACCUACUCUGUAGUGGCACCCUGAUGGCAGAAGUUCCUUCGAUUGGAAGCACAGAUGAUGACCACAUUGGUUUUUCAAGUUCUCUUGUGGAAAAAAAUGAUUGAAUGAACAGGAUUGCUCAGUACAGGCCCCUUGGGAACCUUCAUUUGUAUUUUAUGUGUUACUACAUUUAUAUCCUACCUUUCAUCCAAUGAGCUGAAGGUGGUGUGAUGGUUGUAUCGUGACCAAAAAGAGCCUUAGCAGAAAGAGCUGCGGAUGGAACACAAUGUAAAAUUUCUUUUCAGCGAAGCAAGAGAUGCUCGCCCAGAUGCCAUUAAUUCAGAAUGCAUCUGUAUUGUUACUAUCGUUAUGAUCUAGCAUUCAGACAUCACUUGUUAGGUAUUUGUGUGUGUUGCCACCUCUGAAAAUUCAAGAGUAUUUGAUAGUUACCUUCCUUCAACAAGUGAGAUGUUAUAGGCAAAACAAGCAAUUAGUUAGAUCUAGUUUUUAAAUCGUUAUUUUAAAAGUAUCACCUUGAAAACGGAAGUACUGGAGAUGAUCCAAGGUUUAAUAUGAUAGAGUCAAUGCUGUGUGAGCUAUGAACUAAAUAGCUUUUCCUAGAAGUUGCUUAGCAAAAAUAAAACAAUUUUUAAAUCCAAAA
Molecule: non-coding RNA, 4455 nt
Organism: Podarcis muralis (Common wall lizard)
Lineage: Eukaryota; Metazoa; Chordata; Lepidosauria; Squamata; Lacertidae
Source: RefSeq, a predicted model, not a curated record